RNAcentral lists this long non-coding RNA (337 nucleotides) under Bos taurus (domestic cattle). Its description in RNAcentral is "long non-coding RNA NONBTAT004176". Lineage: Eukaryota; Metazoa; Chordata; Mammalia; Artiodactyla; Bovidae. The record is from RNAcentral.
CACCAUUAUCAGAAUCACAUGGAACUCCGAACAUCUCCAUGCAGCAUGUCUACUUCCAAUGAGGAUGCUAUGUGGACAAAAAUCCUGCACAAGUUUGAAAAGAGGAAAGUGCUGAGAGAGUCAAUUCAUUAAUCCCAUGGGCAAAGUUUUACAUUCAAAAGAAUCUGCUCCACUGCAGUCAGUAUAUACUCCUCUUGUAAGCAGAUCCCCUCAUUCUAUGUACCAACUUGCAAAAAUUCAUUAGUAGCCAGCACAAUACUAAAUAUAUAGUGAAGCAUUUUCCUGCUCCUUAGUCAAGCAGUAACUGGUUUUGUUACCCAUUUGACACAUAUUCCAA